AUACUUACCUGGUAGGUGAGAUACCAUGAAUGUGAAGGUGGUUUUUCCAGAGCAAGGCUUAUCUAUCCUAAUUCAGAUGUACUGCCCCCUGAAAUUUCCCCAAAUGUAGGAAAUUUUACUACAUAACUUGUGGUAGUGGGGGACCGUGUUCAUGUUUUCCCCUG
This 164-nucleotide small nuclear RNA is filed under the name Microcebus murinus (gray mouse lemur). RNAcentral describes it as "U1 spliceosomal RNA (ENSMICG00000048080.1)". It matches the Rfam family "U1 spliceosomal RNA". Rfam says of the family: U1 is a small nuclear RNA (snRNA) component of the spliceosome (involved in pre-mRNA splicing). Its 5' end forms complementary base pairs with the 5' splice junction, thus defining the 5' donor site of an intron. The record is from Rfam by way of RNAcentral. Lineage: Eukaryota; Metazoa; Chordata; Mammalia; Primates; Cheirogaleidae.